Molecule: transfer RNA, 62 nt
Filed under: Dugesia ryukyuensis
Lineage: Eukaryota; Metazoa; Platyhelminthes; Tricladida; Dugesiidae
Description: tRNA-Phe
Source: RNAcentral
GUUUUGAUAGCUUAAUGUAAAGUAAAGUUUUGAAGAAACUCAGAUGGAUUUUCCUUAAAAUA